Long non-coding RNA from Diprion similis, 464 nucleotides. RefSeq lists it as uncharacterized. The record is from RefSeq and is a predicted model, not a curated record. Lineage: Eukaryota; Metazoa; Arthropoda; Insecta; Hymenoptera; Diprionidae. The transcript is spliced from 4 exons.
CACCACUUGAAUAUGCGAAUCACUCACUAUCAACUGGGGAGGUUUGGCGAACGAGGAGAGCUUGCGAUGGAUAAAUACGGACGAGGAACGUUAUUAGGAAUCCAUAAUCAACAGGUCGGGCCUCCGACUCCAGGUUUGCUCAACAGGUCGGCCCUACCUGCGCAAACUUUGAUACCUCGACGACGUUCGUUUUGAUAAGUAAAUAAGGGUGAAAAAGAAAAUGAAACAUACCGACACCGAUGACCAGCUGGGUAUAAGUGCGACGCACCUUCAUUCCGGCCUGAAACGACUUUGGAAGGGAAUUUCGACAGAGGUGGUGCUACAUCGGUUGGAGAAAGCACACCCAACGGGUUUUGCGCAACGUCUGGUGGGAAAUCUAAGGCUUAACGGAAACGACACGUCUGUGCGGCGGACAGUGCGGUGUUAUGUGCGGAGAUCAGGAAACAAAGCUGAAAGGGUUUUGG